RNAcentral lists this microRNA precursor (61 nucleotides) under Ptychodera flava. RNAcentral's name for it is "Pfl-Mir-4818-P1_pre stem-loop". The record is from RNAcentral. Lineage: Eukaryota; Metazoa; Hemichordata; Enteropneusta; Ptychoderidae.
GCUUUACAAGGGAGAGUAGAUUAUGUUACCCUUAUGCUAAUUGCACUCCCUUGUGGGGCUU